Long non-coding RNA from Hippocampus zosterae (dwarf seahorse), 610 nucleotides. RefSeq lists it as uncharacterized. Lineage: Eukaryota; Metazoa; Chordata; Actinopteri; Syngnathiformes; Syngnathidae. The transcript has 2 exons. The record is from RefSeq and is a predicted model, not a curated record.
CUCUCACUAGGACUUGGGCGUUCACCCUUCUGGCACUAACUGAGCACCUUGGCGUCGAGCUCAAUUAUUUCAUUUGAGUCGGUGGGACGCGACUCGCGGGGCAACCGACGACCGAAGAACGAAUCUGCUGCUGCUGCUCCUGCUUGAAGCAGGAUGGCGAACGCCAGCUCGUGUUUGUGGUGCCUGGUGUGGCUGGUGCUGCUGCUGUUCUUGGGCUGGCCCAUCGGCAUCACCCUGGGGGGUCUCUACGGCCUCUUCAGCCCCCUCACCACCUGCCUGGGCCUGGACCGAUUGUCCGACCUGCUGUUGGAGGGUGCCAACUUGGGCCGCACCUGCGCCCUCAACAUGAGGCACUGCAAGCCACUGUGUUAAUUUUAUUUCUUUUUUUUGGACCGUGUCCCUGAUGCUACGGCGAUGUCAAAAAAGGUUGACACGAUGGCGGGCGUGAGCAUGGAAGCGAGCAUGUGUUUGUCAUUCGGUAAGCUUGAAAGGGGCUUCAGAGUGUCGAAUUGGCGAUGACGCUGCACAGAGGAGAUAAGAAUUUAACAAUGGCGGCGCUCUGACUUGUAAAUGCAAACUUCUAAUGCGAUUAAACCUGCUUUGAACUGGU